This is a non-coding RNA of Pocillopora damicornis (cauliflower coral), 132 nucleotides long. RefSeq annotates it as small Cajal body-specific RNA 8. NCBI's taxonomy places the organism in Eukaryota, Metazoa, Cnidaria, Anthozoa, Scleractinia, Pocilloporidae. The record is from RefSeq and is a predicted model, not a curated record.
UGGGAGUUUUGAUACAUGACACAAAGCUGUUAUUGAUGUGUUCAUCACUAAACUCCCUAAAUGAACACAGCUCUCUGAUGACUGUAUUUUGCUCAAGAAACAGCCAUACAGACAGAUACGGAGCUUACAGAU